RNAcentral lists this ribosomal RNA (50 nucleotides) under cf. Cytospora sp. CML 1901. RNAcentral's name for it is "partial 28S ribosomal RNA". Lineage: Eukaryota; Fungi; Ascomycota; Sordariomycetes; Diaporthales; Cytosporaceae. The record is from RNAcentral.
UUGACCUCGGAUCAGGUAGGAAUACCCGCUGAACUUAAGCAUAUCAGUCA